RNAcentral lists this ribosomal RNA (712 nucleotides) under uncultured Escherichia sp. RNAcentral describes it as "bacterial SSU rRNA". It matches the Rfam family "Bacterial small subunit ribosomal RNA", at positions 67 to 769 of the family's 1533-position model. The record is from RNAcentral. Lineage: Bacteria; Pseudomonadati; Pseudomonadota; Gammaproteobacteria; Enterobacterales; Enterobacteriaceae.
CGUAACAGGAAACAGCUUGCUGUUUCGCUGACGAGUGACGGACGGGUGAGUAAUGUCUGGGAAACUGCCUGAUGGAGGGGGAUAACUACUGGAAACGGUAGCUAAUACCGCAUAACGUCGCAAGACCAAAGAGGGGGACCUUCGGGCCUCUUGCCAUCGGAUGUGCCCAGAUGGGAUUAGCUUGUUGGUGGGGUAACGGCUCACCAAGGCGACGAUCCCUAGCUGGUCUGAGAGGAUGACCAGCCACACUGGAACUGAGACACGGUCCAGACUCCUACGGGAGGCAGCAGUGGGGAAUAUUGCACAAUGGGCGCAAGCCUGAUGCAGCCAUGCCGCGUGUAUGAAGAAGGCCUUCGGGUUGUAAAGUACUUUCAGCGGGGAGGAAGGGAGUAAAGUUAAUACCUUUGCUCAUUGACGUUACCCGCAGAAGAAGCACCGGCUAACUCCGUGCCAGCAGCCGCGGUAAUACGGAGGGUGCAAGCGUUAACCGGAAUUACUGGGCGUAAAGCGCACGCAGGCGGUUUGUUAAGUCAGAUGUGAAAUCCCCGGGCUCAACCUGGGAACUGCAUCUGAUACUGGCAAGCUUGAGUCUCGUAGAGGGGGGUAGAAUUCCAGGUGUAGCGGUGAAAUGCGUAGAGAUCUGGAGGAAUACCGGUGGCGAAGGCGGCCCCCUGGACGAAGACUGACGCUCAGGUGCGAAAGCGUGGGGAGC